CUGGGAAGGGACACGGUCGCGCGUUCGGGCGUCAGCGUCCGGCGUGAGGAAAGUCCGGGCACCGCAGGGCAGGAUGCCAGCUAACGGCUGGGCGGCGAGCAAAAGGCCAGUCCUCCAAGGAGAACCGGGCACAUGCGAAGCCGACGGAAAGUGCCACAGAAACGAGACCGCUGCUUUUCGGCUUUGGCCGGUGGCAGCAAGGGUGAAACGGUGCGGUAAGAGCGCACCAGUCUUCUGGGAGACCAGAAGAGCUGGUAAACCCCAUCCGGUGCAAGGCCCGACAGUGGGGGAGGAGCGGCCCGCUCCCCUGAUCCCCAGGAUGGCCGCUUGAGGCGCCCGGCGACGGGCGUCCCAGAGAGAUGAUCGUGGCACUGGCGAACGUCAGUGAACAGAACCCGGCUUACUACCUUCCCAGCCCC
Molecule: RNase P RNA, 419 nt
Filed under: Deinococcus peraridilitoris DSM 19664
Lineage: Bacteria; Thermotogati; Deinococcota; Deinococci; Deinococcales; Deinococcaceae
Description: Bacterial RNase P class A
Rfam family: Bacterial RNase P class A
About the family: Ribonuclease P (RNase P) is a ubiquitous endoribonuclease, found in archaea, bacteria and eukarya as well as chloroplasts and mitochondria.
Source: Rfam by way of RNAcentral